Long non-coding RNA from Arachis duranensis, 837 nucleotides. RefSeq lists it as uncharacterized. The transcript has 2 exons. The record is from RefSeq and is a predicted model, not a curated record. Lineage: Eukaryota; Viridiplantae; Streptophyta; Magnoliopsida; Fabales; Fabaceae.
AAAGUUUCCCACCCCAACACAGCAACACUAACAUUCUAACACUAAGCUUCUUCUUUGUUUUUUCUUUUUAUUUCUAAUUUCUUUUUAUCAUUUUUCCGGUUUUGUAUUACAAUUUGAUUAAUUAGAUACAUCUUUCAGGUGAAGUUGAAGAGUACAAUUUUUAUCUUUCACUACUACUCUUCUUCACUUAUUCAUAAGCAUUAUUGUGCUUCUUUCUCUUCCUCGCUCUACCAUAUAUUCUUCUUCUCUUUGCUUUGAUUUGGUGUCAUUCAUCAAUUCCAUAUUAUGAUGAAUUAAUAUAUAAGCCAACAAUCACCAUGAUUCUAAUGGCAAGAAUGAUGCGGUCACUAGUGAAGCUAGCAAGAUCACUAAUGUGUGAACCAACAUCAACACUCACAACCAUUCUCUAUUAUGGGAACCUACUUCCAAGAAACCUUAACAACAACUUGAACCGGUUGGUCCGACCGGAAUUCCUUCACCAAGAGAACCAUUUCUUCCAUUUUCUCAUCACUAUAUUGAGGUGUGUUUGGUAGUAGUUAUUACUAGUAGCUUGGUCAGAGUUAAAAUUAGGCCAUGUUAGGUUGGGGUUCAGGUGUUUCAUAAAGCAAGGAAAUUAAAGGAUACGGUCUCAUCAUAAGGUUAAGAACUUAAGAUUUUAUCCAACGUGCAAAAAACGAAUUUAAUUAUUUGAGGAAACCAAUUAGUAAUGCAUUUACUUUUUGAGGCACUCCAUGUGGUAGCACAGUGUCUUAGUAAGAAUUUUGGGAGCAACAAAAUCAUGCAUCAUAUGUACUCAUCAAAUCAAUAGAUUAAUGUGCACUUAAUUCAACUAGAAAA